AGUGAACGCUGGCGGUAUGCCUUACACAUGCAAGUCGAACGGCAGCACAGUAAGAGCUUGCUCGUACGGGUGGCCAGUGGCGGACGGGUGAGGUCUACAUCGGACUCUACUUUUUCGUUGGGGCGAACAUAGGCGAACUUACACCACUUACGCAUUCCACAUGCGAGUGAAAGCACGGGCUCUUCCGCCCUUUCGCGAUUGCCUAGGCCGAUUUCGGAUUAGCUAGUUGGAGGGGUAAAGGCCCACCAAGGCGACGAUCUGUAGCUGGUCUGAGAGGAUGACCAGCCACACUGGAACUGAGACACGGUCCAGACUCCUACGGGAGGCAGCAGUGGGGAAUAUUGGACAAUGGGCGAAAGCCUGAUCCAGCAAUGCCGCGUGUGUGAAGAAGGCCUUCGGGUUGUAAAGCCCUUUUGUUGGGAAAGAAAAGCAGCAGCCUAAUACGCCGCUGGGAUGACGGUACCCGAAGAAUAAGCACCGGCUAACUUCGUG
RNAcentral lists this ribosomal RNA (492 nucleotides) under uncultured bacterium. RNAcentral's name for it is "partial 16S ribosomal RNA". It matches the Rfam family "Bacterial small subunit ribosomal RNA", at positions 29 to 507 of the family's 1533-position model. The record is from RNAcentral.